UACGUAGGGUGCAAGCGUUAAUCGGAAUUACUGGGCGUAAAGCGUGCGCAGGCGGUUUUGUAAGUCUGACGUGAAAGCCCCGGGCUCAACCUGGGAAUUGCGUUGGAGACUGCAAGGCUUGAAUCUGGCAGAGGGGGGUAGAAUUCCACGUGUAGCAGUGAAAUGCGUAGAGAUGUGGAGGAACACCGAUGGCGAAGGCAGACCCCUAGGUCAAGAUUGACGCUCAUGCACGAAAGCGUGGGGAGCAAACAGG
This 253-nucleotide ribosomal RNA is filed under the name uncultured bacterium. RNAcentral's name for it is "partial 16S ribosomal RNA". It matches the Rfam family "Bacterial small subunit ribosomal RNA", at positions 524 to 776 of the family's 1533-position model. The record is from RNAcentral.